This 807-nucleotide ribosomal RNA is filed under the name uncultured bacterium. Its description in RNAcentral is "bacterial SSU rRNA". It matches the Rfam family "Bacterial small subunit ribosomal RNA", at positions 57 to 873 of the family's 1533-position model. The record is from RNAcentral.
GCAAGUCGAACGAGGUGCUUUUGUAGCAAUACGAGGGUAUCCUAGUGGCGAACGGGUGAGUAACGCGUUGGUGACCUACCCCAAAGUGUGGGAUAACAGUCCGAAAGGAUUGCUAAUACCGCAUGUGGUCUUCGGAUUUAGAAACUGAUGACUAAAGGAGCAAUUCGCUUUGGGAGGGACCUGCGUCCCAUCAGCUAGUUGGUGAGGUAAUGGCUCACCAAGGCUACGACGGGUAGGGGACCUGAGAGGGUGACCCCCCACAAUGGAACUGAAACACGGUCCAUACACCUACGGGUGGCAGCAGUAGGGAAUAUUGCACAAUGGGCGAAAGCCUGAUGCAGCAACGCCGCGUGUGCGAUGAAGGCCUUCGGGUCGUAAAGCACUUUUCUGGGAGAUGAGCAAGGACAGUAUCUCAGGAAUAAGUCUCGGCUAACUACGUGCCAGCAGCCGCGGUAAAACGUAGGAGGCAAGCGUUAUCCGGAUUCACUGGGCGUAAAGCGCGUGCAGGCGGUUCGGUAAGUUGGGCGUGAAAUCUCCUGGCUUAACUAGGAGAGGUCGUUCAAUACUACCGGACUUGGGAGUGAUAGAGGAAGAUGGAAUUCCCGGUGUAGUGGUGAAAUGCGUAGAUAUCGGGAGGAACACCAGUGGCGAAAGCGAUCUUCUGGAUCAUUUCUGACGCUCAGACGCGAAAGCUAGGGUAGUAAACGGGAUUAGAGACCCCGGUAAUCCUAGCCGUAAACGAUGUAAACUUGGCGUCGGCGGCUUAAACUCCGUCGGUGCCGCAGCUAACGCGAUAAGUUUACCGCC